This 296-nucleotide long non-coding RNA is filed under the name Phoenix dactylifera (date palm). Its description in RNAcentral is "long non-coding RNA (PDAC_LNC000079)". Lineage: Eukaryota; Viridiplantae; Streptophyta; Magnoliopsida; Arecales; Arecaceae. The record is from RNAcentral.
AGGAACAAUCUUAGAUGUGCAAUCCCUCCAAAGCCACUCACUUUUCUUUUAUUGCUGCUACGAGAUUCAUACGCAUAACGAAUUCCAUACUGACCAUUCCAGAAGACAAGGGGUAUGACUCAUUUCUCUAUUCAAGCUAGCUAAUGAUGUCCUUUUCCUAUCUAAUCUUAUUUUAUUAUUGUUUAUAUGGAAAGCAGACCUUUUAUCUUGUAGUAUCAUAAAUGGAGAUUUGAUGAUAUGUCUCCAUCUCUCAUGUUCCGCUAUGUGACUCCUCCUUUUCCUAUUCCUCCACCUCA